GACGAACGCUGGCGGCGUGCCUAAUACAUGCAAGUAGAACGCUGAAGGAGGAGCUUGCUUCUCUGGAUGAGUUGCGAACGGGUGAGUAACGCGUAGGUAACCUGCCUGGUAGCGGGGGAUAACUAUUGGAAACGAUAGCUAAUACCGCAUAAGAGUAGAUGUUGCAUGACAUUUGCUUAAAAGGUGCAAUUGCAUCACUACCAGAUGGACCUGCGUUGUAUUAGCUAGUUGGUGGGGUAACGGCUCACCAAGGCGACGAUACAUAGCCGACCUGAGAGGGUGAUCGGCCACACUGGGACUGAGACACGGCCCAGACUCCUACGGGAGGCAGCAGUAGGGAAUCUUCGGCAAUGGACGGAAGUCUGACCGAGCAACGCCGCGUGAGUGAAGAAGGUUUUCGGAUCGUAAAGCUCUGUUGUAAGAGAAGAACGAGUGUGAGAGUGGAAAGUUCACACUGUGACGGUAUCCGACCAGAAAGGGACGGCUAACUACGUG
RNAcentral lists this ribosomal RNA (495 nucleotides) under uncultured bacterium. RNAcentral's name for it is "partial 16S ribosomal RNA". It matches the Rfam family "Bacterial small subunit ribosomal RNA", at positions 28 to 507 of the family's 1533-position model. The record is from RNAcentral.